This 758-nucleotide unclassified non-coding RNA is filed under the name Hevea brasiliensis (rubber tree). The record is from RNAcentral. Lineage: Eukaryota; Viridiplantae; Streptophyta; Magnoliopsida; Malpighiales; Euphorbiaceae.
UAUUCUUUGGCCUCAGCUGCUACUUCAUUCACCAAAACCGAACGCCCACCCCUCUCCCUCUCUCUAGUACCAAUUUUCUACUGCGUCACGCCUGUCAACCAUUGCCAUUGCUUUGCAGUUGCAUGCUCCUCAUCCUUCUCCCAUCAUCACCGGCACCCGCCCUCCUCAUGUUAAUGGCGAACCUAAAAUUUUAAAUAGUAGUGGUGAUGAAGAGGGUCCAAAAUUAUGGCUUGAGUUAUCAAGUGAACCACCUUGAUUUUUUUGUUUUUAACUUGAACCUUUAAUGACAUCUGAUUCUCCAAGCUUAUCAUCAUUGCAAAUCUAUCACAUUGGGACUGGGAGGCUCAUUUUCAAAACCAAAUUCAUCAUCACUACAAAUGAACACGUUAUCCUUUUAUCUUGAUCUAUUGUGCUCCUUGUUAAUCAUGUAAGCUUUAGGAUCAAACUUUUUUCUGAGAGAGCGUACUGGGGGAGAUGAGAUGAUUGGACUUUAGAUUUACAGUGAGAAUAUAGAGAAGGGUCGAUGUAGGAAAAGUAAUUAAAAAUAUUAUAAUAUUAUUUUUUUAAUCUACAUCAGGAUACAAUUGAUAGAGAAUAAUGGAAAAUUUUGAUUUACUAACUGAGUAAAAUCUAAGAGUAUCACUUUGUCAAAAAAUAAUAUGAGUGAAAUUACAAGGUUUUCGCUAAUAAUAAUAAUAAAGAAUUGGGGCAGCAAAGGAAGCGAUUGGGGAAGAGAAGGGUUUAAAAUUGAAAUCAAA